Molecule: ribosomal RNA, 455 nt
Filed under: uncultured Desulfocapsa sp.
Lineage: Bacteria; Pseudomonadati; Thermodesulfobacteriota; Desulfobulbia; Desulfobulbales; Desulfocapsaceae
Description: bacterial SSU rRNA
Rfam family: Bacterial small subunit ribosomal RNA
Source: RNAcentral
AAGCGGUGGAGCAUGUGGUUAAUUCGAAGCAACGCGCAGAACCUUACCUGGUCUUGACAUCUCGGGAAUCAUUUGGAAACAUAUGAGUGCCUCGCAAGAGGAGCCGAUGACAGGUGCUGCAUGGCUGUCGUCAGCUCGUGUCGUGAGAUGUUGGGUUAAGUCCCGCAACGAGCGCAACCCUUGUCUUUAGUUGCCAUCAUUAAGUUGGGCACUCUAAAGAGACUGCCGGUGUCAAACCGGAGGAAGGUGGGAUGACGUCAAGUCCUCAUGGCCUUUAUGACCAGGGCUACACACGUACUACAAUGGCAGGUACAAAGGGCAGCCACUUAGCGAUAAGGCGCGAAUCCCAUAAAACCUGUCUCAGUCCGGAUUGGAGUCUGCAACUCGACUCCAUGAAGUUGGAAUCGCUAGUAAUCGCAGAUCAGCACGCUGCGGUGAAUACGUUCCCGGGCCUU